UAGCGGUGAAAUUCCAAUCGAGCCCGGAGAUAGCUGGUUCUCCCCGAAAUAGCUUUAGGGCUAGCCUCAAGGUGAGGGAUACGGAGGUAGAGCACUGAAUGUCCUAGGGGGUAUUGCACCUACCGAAGACUAUCAAACUCCGAAUGCCGUCAUCUUAUACUUGGGAGUCAGACUGUGGGUGAUAAGAUUCAUAGUCGAAAGGGC
This 204-nucleotide ribosomal RNA is filed under the name Clostridioides difficile. Its description in RNAcentral is "partial 23S ribosomal RNA". It matches the Rfam family "Bacterial large subunit ribosomal RNA", at positions 816 to 1020 of the family's 2925-position model. Lineage: Bacteria; Bacillati; Bacillota; Clostridia; Peptostreptococcales; Peptostreptococcaceae. The record is from RNAcentral.